Molecule: long non-coding RNA, 310 nt
Organism: Phyllopteryx taeniolatus (common seadragon)
Lineage: Eukaryota; Metazoa; Chordata; Actinopteri; Syngnathiformes; Syngnathidae
Exons: 2
Source: RefSeq, a predicted model, not a curated record
UUAAUUGCGCAACCGCGUCGUCUGUUCUGUGAGUCCCUCCUCCGAUGUGGGGAAAGCAAUAAAAAAAAAAAAAAAAAACUGUACAACUUGAGGUGGAUUGUCAAAUAUGAAAACAAUGCCUAGCUAGCAGUGGCUAGCACUGCUGGGGAGGCGCUUUGGAGCACCUGAAGCAACUAAAACAAGUUCCUCCGUGAUGAAGACGUGAGGGUACCUAUGAUGCCAUGCACCCCAGUAGUGACCCAUGUUGGACGAUAUGAAAUAUAUUUUUCAUUCAUCUUGUUUCCUCCAAAUAAAGUACAAGUGACAAACU